AUGAAAUCAACAAACACCAUGACAUCACCAACAAACAUGACAUCACCAACAAAGACCACAACGUCAUUAACAAAUACCACGACAUCACCAACAAAGACCACGACACCAUCAACAAAGACCACGACAUCAUCAACAAACACGAUAUCACCAACAAAGACCACGACAUCAUCAACAAAGACCACAACGUCAUUAACAAACACCACGACGUCAUCAACAAAGACCACAACAUUAUCAACAAACAACAUCAUCAAAAUAGACCACGACAUCAUCAACAAAGACCACGACAUUGGCGACAAAGACCACGACAUCACCAACAAAUACGACGACAUCAUCAACAAACACCACGACAUCAUCAUCAAAGACCACGUCAUCAUCAACAAAAACCACAACAUCAUCAACAAAGACCACGACAUCAUCAACAAAGACAACGACAUCAUCAAAGAAGACCACAACAUAAUCAACAAACACCACGACAUCAUCAACAAUUAUGCCCUAUCUGCCCUAAUGCAAACAAAGUGUAAAAUGAGAGUAAAUAUAUGAAAUCUAGACGUUACAUUUAUUGAGGAGCAGAUUGAUCACACGGUUAAAUCUCUCUUGACACAUCUUGAGUCGGAUGAAAACACACAAUUCUUUGAAGGAGAACCAUUAAACAGUAUCAGAGAUUAUCAGAGAUUAUCAAUAAACAACAAUACAAAUACUGUACAAACACUCAUUUCAUUUCAGAGUUGUUUCCACCUAUAUGAUUCGCAAACUCGGGGGUACUCUAUAGGGUGUCAGUAAAGACCAUGAUCAGGAUCAAGAUUAGGUCAUGUUUAAAGUCUGUUCAGAAUUCAUAAUAACGUUGAAGGGAAGUGACUUUUUCCUUUUCCUAAUCAAGAAUGAGUAAUGAGUAAUGUGAUCGGAGUAAUUCGAUUAAUCUAUUACACUCCUCUCCGUCUGUUUCCUCUCUGUCCGUGCUAUCAAAAUAAGAGGCCAAAAAAAGGAACCGUAAUAAGAAGAAAACAACAUCAGUGCUGCUCAUCCUGAUGUUACACUGCUGGAUGUUCUAACAGAACGCUAUGUGAUGUUCUACCAACACACACACACACACACACACACACACACACAGAGCAGAAUGAUGAAAAUGAACCACAAACACCGACUAAAUCAAAUUACCUGGUUCCUUUAUCUCCCAUCCUGACGACAAUGACGAGUCAACAGACGGAGAGAUGAUGAAGGAGGAGGAAGAGGAGGAGGAGGAGGAGGAGGGAUGCUGUCACCGUGGAAACUGAGGGGAGGAUGUCUCUCUCUCUCGCUCAGGAAGUCGUCGUCAUGCCGUCAGAUUCUCCUCAGCAGGAGGAAAAACCUCCAUCUGAGCUCCAACUGAACAAGCGACUGAUUCCAGCACUCUGCCCACCCACCCACCCACCCUUCCUGUCCUCUCGCUCCCUCCCCCGCUCUCUAUUCACACUCAUUAGCAGCAAAGUGUGAUAAAAUAUGAAAACCACCAGAGGGCUGGUUUUAUUCCAGUCGCUGACAUGUCAGCUCGACCGACCUUGAGCAGCAGAAAUAUAAAUAUAUAUGAAUCACAAGUUGGAGACGAGUGGACGUGCUUCACAGAGACGUCUGUACGGAGGCUGAAAGGUGCCUGAUGCUGGUGCUGUGGAGCAGCUCCUAGAUUUUGAAAACUUUGAUUUUGAAAAACCAUAGCAUCUAUCAAAAUAAAAGGGAUAAAUUAAGUGAUGCUAAUUGCUACAGUUACGGAUGUACAAAUCAACAUAUUUCUGUUAAUUACUAAUCAGUAUUUCCUCAUUUCAGAUCAAAGAGGUCAGAUCGAAGGCAGCAGCUUUCUGCCUCCUCAUUAAUGAGUGUGAAACCGCCUGGAGCUUCAUCAUCUUCACCUUAAAAAAAACCCAGACAAACAACUGUUGACAAGCAAAGCUAACAACCCAAUGGUGCCUCCAGUGUCCUCUGCUGUGUGAACACACAAGAUCAGAACCAACAAUGUAAUGCAGGUCAUUAUGGAGAGAUUUGUUAUUAUAGGGUAAAAAACAUCUUUGGGAUUACACAUAUAUUAUUAUAAAUACAUAGCUAUAAUAAUAUGUUUUCUCCUGGAGUGCAUAUAAUUUAAUUAUUUAAUAACUUAUCACAACUGAUCUUUAACCAACUCUCCUCCUAUCUCCACCAUAACAAUCUCCUGGACCCCCACCAGUCAGGCUUCAAGGCCACGCUGUCCUCGUCCUUCUGGACCUCUCUGCUGCAUUUGACACAGUCAACCACCAGAUCCUUAUUUCCUCCCUUCAGGAACUUGGUGUCUCAGGCUCUGCUCUCUCCCUUCUCUCGUCCUACCUCGACGGACGCACCUACCGUGUAACCUGGAGAGGAUCUGUGUCGGAACCUUGUCCUCUUACUACUGGAGUUCCUCAGGGUUCCGUCCUGGGUCCCCUCCUGUUCUCGCUUUACACCAACUCGCUCGCAUGGCUUCUCUUACCACAGCUAUGCUGAUGACACCCAACUAAUUCUCUCCUUCCCUCACUCGGAUCUCUGCCUGUCUGACUGACAUCUCUCAGUGGAUCCGCCCACCAUCUGAAAAUCAACCCCGACAAGACGGAACUACUUCUCUUUCCGGGAAAAACUCUCGGACACAGGACCUGACAGUCAACUUUGGCAACUCCGUGUUGACGCCCACUUUGACUGCAGGAACCUCAGCGUCACACUCGACAGCCGACUCUCCCUGACUCCCAACAUCACCGCGACAACGCGAUCCUGUAGAUACUCGCUCUACAACAUCAGGAGAACACGUCCUUCUCACUCAGAAGGUACUGAUUCAGGCUCUGGUCGUCUCCCUCCUGGACUACUGUAACUCUCUCCUGCAGGUCUCCUGCUACCUCCAUUCCAUCCCUGCAGCUCAUCCAGAAUGCAGCAGCUCCACUGGUCUUUAACCUUCCUAAGUUCUCCCUCACUCCUCCACUCCUCCGCUCUCUUCACUGGUACCGGU
Molecule: long non-coding RNA, 2977 nt
Organism: Gasterosteus aculeatus (three-spined stickleback)
Lineage: Eukaryota; Metazoa; Chordata; Actinopteri; Perciformes; Gasterosteidae
Source: Ensembl